Molecule: long non-coding RNA, 152 nt
Organism: Pipistrellus kuhlii (Kuhl's pipistrelle)
Lineage: Eukaryota; Metazoa; Chordata; Mammalia; Chiroptera; Vespertilionidae
Exons: 3
Source: RefSeq, a predicted model, not a curated record
UUUACAUUGAUUCAUAACAGUAGCAAAAUUACAGUUAUGAAAUAGCAACGAAAAUAAUUUUAUGCUUGGGGUCACCACAACAUGAGGUACUGUAUUAAAGGGUCGUGGUAUUAGAAUGGUUGAGCACCACUGCUCUAGGGCCACAGGAGAAG